This is a long non-coding RNA of Ostrea edulis (European flat oyster), 2912 nucleotides long. RefSeq lists it as uncharacterized. The record is from RefSeq and is a predicted model, not a curated record. The transcript is spliced from 5 exons. Lineage: Eukaryota; Metazoa; Mollusca; Bivalvia; Ostreida; Ostreidae.
AAUACCCCAUAAAGAUGCUGAAGAAAGUUUGUGUGACUGUAUGCUACACCGGUAUUGAGUUUAUUUCAUGAUUUUUAGACCUCUAAUAAACGUAAACUUUUCAUUAUAACCCAACAUAAAGCACACUACAGAUUAUUUACAUUUAAAAUUGUAAACAAAGGCGGCCAUUUUGAACUUAGGGUCGCAGGGACGCUAUUUAAAGAAAUCCUAUUAUAUAGAAAAACGAUGCAGAAAUUUAACACAUGCAUGAUUUUUUAAAUUCAGACGUUUGUGAAACAAUUUACACACAAAAUAAAUUAUAUAUCUAUAAAAGUAUGUUUUCCCAUAAAUCCUCUCCUGAUCGCUGAUUGGUUGUAAUUUUCGGCGGGCAAAAUUGAUUGUUGUUUGUGAGAGAAAACCUAGCGUGACUCAAAUGGAACCAUGUCAUGUUUUGAUUGAAUGGAAGAUCCAAAGAUUUUUCUGAGAAUAGGAGACGUCUACUGUUGUUGGGCAUCAUUCAGGUAUGUCUUUCAGAGGGUAUUGAGUAAAAUUUUCUGGAACUUUUUAAAACAAUCUUCCAUUAUGCAUCCUCACUGAAUAUUUUAGUAUGAGGCCGUCCAUAGCCAAUACUGGCAAUUCCCGUCUCAUUUAAACGAUCUUUGACGGGAUAGAUCAUGUUAUCUCUGACUAUACAAAUUUUCCUUUUCUCAUAAAAGAGCAAUGAUAUUUAAUAUUCAUUUCAUAAUCACAACAGAACACAUAAAAACAUGCUUGAUAUUCACCUUUUAGAAUUUUGAAUACAAAAAAAAAAAUAAAAAUUAAAAAAUAUCCUGUCCCGAUUCGGAAACAGGACGUUAUCUAACCUAUUCUUUCACUCUAUAUAUCAUUGUAGGUAUUUCCGGUGUUGACUUGAAACGUUUUCAUUCACGAUGUUGCGGAUUCAUCAUUGCAUUUGCAUGGGGUAGUGCAUAUGUUGUGUGUGGCCUUCUAAACGAUAAAUCUAUGGAUUAAAGGAUGAACAGGUCGAUGCAGGAAUAUUCAUUCUAAUGAUAAGGAAAUACCAAAUGCAAGGACAACCUCCAAGCAUGCAGUAUGCUUUAUACAAACAAUGAUGGGAUGUUCCAUCCUAGAAAUAGUUUCUAUUCUCAAUUAUGGUGCAGCAUCAAAUUAAAGAUGAGAAGUAAAUCAUGUGUCAAUCCCUCAGCAUUAGAAGUGAAAGGCACAGGUGUUUUAGGCAUGAUAUUAAAACCAAAGGCCCCAUAUCACGGUAGGUAUUGGCACGAUAAAGAACCCUCACUGCUACACAACUAAGUUAAGGCUAAUCCCUCCAAAAGUCUCAGUGCUGUACAUAAAUCUACCUUCAAGUUGAGCAAUGCACUUCACACCAUACAAUGUCACAAUGAAAAAGUAAGGCACAACGCACAGGGCUAUAUAUUCAUAUCAUUGUGAAAAUGUUGCAAUAUUUUAGCUGUAUUGACCAAGGCUAUCAAGUUCUAAGCUGUAUACAAAUUUGUUUAAAAUUUUCUGUCAUAUGAUAUAUUUUUCUCUUUGGUAUUGUAGCAAUUUCAAAUUUUCAGUAUAGAACAUGUGCAAAGAUAUUAUUCAUAUGAUUGAUUGAUUGAUUGAUGUUUUCCGCCACACUCAACAAUUUUUCAGUUAUAUGGUGGCGCCCAGUUUUUAUUGGUGGAAGAGAGAACCCAGAUACAAUGUACCUGGGAAGAGACCAUCAACCUUCCGAAAGUAAACUGGGAAACUUUCUCACUUAACGGCAUGAGCGGGAUUGGAACCCUCGCCAACAGAGAAUCCUGAAGUUAUCUUGUACAUGUAAAUGCAUGCAGUGGUGGAUUCAGGAUUUGUUAAAGGCGGGAUAGGGCUCCAGGGUUUUGAGGCUUUUUAGAACUAGAUGAGCAGAAGAUGCAUUCCAUGACUGACUCCCCAUGUGAUAUGAAAGAGAGCCCAUGAGAAUGGAACCAACUUUCAGUGUUACAAUGGAUGAACACUCCUCCUGUCACAAGUCCAUCUUGAUUCAGUAAAGUGGUAGUCUAUUUAUCUAGGAAGCAACAAGACGGAUCUGGACAAGGACCAUAGUGUCUCAAGUUUUGGUGUCAGAAGACCAUUUUGAUUAAACAUGUUAAAAGCACCACAGAAGUAAGAAGCUAGGAUACCAGUUUUAUAAACUAAAGAGUCGAAAGGCCCAGCUGGAGAGAAAUUCCCAUUUCUCGACUAAGGACCAAAAAAAAAAAAAGAUUAAAAAGGUGCUGACUAAGGAGGCAACGUCUCCAGAAGUAACGGAUGAUGAGGAAGCCACCCAGAGGAAGGUCUUACCAUUUAUAUGGGAGUCAUCCCUGCUGCGUAAUGUUAAGUGCAACCUGGACAGAUAGUAUGCUGAAUCUUUGCAACUUCAAUCAAAGAGACAAAAAGCCAAGGCCAUUAGAAGUAGAAUGGAAAUGACUAUGACCCCACCACCUAGGAGCAUUCAAGAGUGGGCCGUUUCCUCUACUUAUAAAUGAUGCUAUUACUGUUAAUAGUUAUAUUUAAUUUCCUCAUUUCUAGCUCAACUGAGCCAAAGGCUCAUGGUCACAAUUAAUACUUUUAUACCAUUAUAACCAGUUUUUAUUAAAUUUUAAUAAUGCUGUUGAAGGAGAAUUGCAAUUUUUCGGAUGUUUAUAAUUGACACUGUUUAAGUAUGUCUAGCAUCUUAAAAAGUGUGAUGACCUAUAUAUUUCAUUUGAUAAUUUAUUAAUUUUAACUUUAAUAAAUUGAAAUAAAUGCAUUUUUGAUACUUUUAUCAGAGAAUAUUGCAAGUAUGGAGUUACCUUGAUAUAUUUAUACAGAUUUGUUCUGCUUUAGUACAGGUGUAUCAGUAUUAUUACAUCAAGUUCAUUUGUGUGAAUAUUAUAAUAUUUAAGAAUGAAUAAAACUGUCAAAUUGUG